GGCGGCGUGCCUAUACUGCAAGUCGAGCGACAGAUAAGGAGCUUGCUCCUUUGAAGUUAGCGGCGGACGGGUGAGUAACACGUGGGUAACCUACCUAUAAGACUGGGAUAACUUCGGGAAACCGGAGCUAAUACCGGAUAACAUUUAGAACCGCAUGGUUCUAAAGUGAAAGAUGGUUUUGCUAUCACUUAUAGAUGGACCCGCGCCGUAUUAGCUAGUUGGUAAGGUAACGGCUUACCAAGGCGACGAUACGUAGCCGACCUGAGAGGGUGAUCGGCCACACUGGAACUGAGACACGGUCCAGACUCCUACGGGAGGCAGCAGUAGGGAAUCUUCCGCAAUGGGCGAAAGCCUGACGGAGCAACGCCGCGUGAGUGAUGAAGGGUUUCGGCUCGUAAAACUCUGUUAUUAGGGAAGAACAAAUGUGUAAGUAACUGUGCACAUCUUGACGGUACCUAAUCAGAAAGCCACGGCUAACUACGUGCCAGCAGCCGCGGUAAUACGUAGGUGGCAAGCGUUAUCCGGAAUUAUUGGGCGUAAAGCGCGCGUAGGCGGUUUCUUAAGUCUGAUGUGAAAGCCCACGGCUCAACCGUGGAGGGUCAUUGGAAACUGGGAAACUUGAGUGCAGAAGAGGAAAGUGGAAUUCCAUGUGUAGCGGUGAAAUGCGCAGAGAUAUGGAGGAACACCAGUGGCGAAGGCGACUUUCUGGUCUGUAACUGACGCUGAUGUGCGAAAGCGUGGGGAUCAAACAGGAUUAGAUACCCUGGUAGUCCACGCCGUAAACGAUGAGUGCUAAGUGUUAGGGGGUUUCCGCCCCUUAGUGCUGCAGCUAACGCAUUAAGCACUCCGCCUGGGGAGUACGACCGCAAGGUUGAAACUCAAAGGAAUUGACGGGGACCCGCACAAGCGGUGGAGCAUGUGGUUUAAUUCGAAGCAACGCGAAGAACCUUACCAAAUCUUGACAUCCUUUGAAAACUCUAGAGAUAGAGCCUUCCCCUUCGGGGGACAAAGUGACAGGUGGUGCAUGGUUGUCGUCAGCUCGUGUCGUGAGAUGUUGGGUUAAGUCCCGCAACGAGCGCAACCCUUAAGCUUAGUUGCCAUCAUUAAGUUGGGCACUCUAAGGUUGACUGCCCGGUGACAAACCCGGAGGAAAGGUGGGGGAUGAACGUCAAAUCAUCCAUGGCCCCUUAUGGAUUUGGGGUUACCCACCUGGCUACAAUUGGAAAAUAACAAAGGGGGGCCUAAACCCCGGAGGGCCUCGGAAAUCCC
RNAcentral lists this ribosomal RNA (1269 nucleotides) under bacterium R78. RNAcentral describes it as "bacterial SSU rRNA". It matches the Rfam family "Bacterial small subunit ribosomal RNA", at positions 38 to 1275 of the family's 1533-position model. The record is from RNAcentral.